GAUUUGUUGUGAUGAAUCUACAAGAACGGUAUCUGAGUAAGGUAACUCUUGAAAAGGUGAUCCUUCGUUGAUUAUAGAUCCUUAACUGAUCAUAUAUUAAUUCUGAGCAAACU
Molecule: small nucleolar RNA, 113 nt
Organism: Lolium rigidum
Lineage: Eukaryota; Viridiplantae; Streptophyta; Magnoliopsida; Poales; Poaceae
Product: small nucleolar RNA Z118/Z121/Z120
Exons: 1
Source: RefSeq, a predicted model, not a curated record